CACGUAGGCGGACUGGAAAGUUGGAGGUGAAAUCCCAGGGCUCAACCUGGGAACUGCCUUCAAAACUAUCAGUCUGGAGUUCGAGAGAGGUGAGUGGAAUUCCGAGUGUAGAGGUGAAAUUCGUAGAUAUUCGGAGGAACACCAGUGGCGAAGGCGGCUCACUGGCUCGAUACUGACGCUGAGGUGUGAAAGCGUGGGAGCAAACA
RNAcentral lists this ribosomal RNA (206 nucleotides) under uncultured bacterium. RNAcentral's name for it is "partial 16S ribosomal RNA". It matches the Rfam family "Bacterial small subunit ribosomal RNA", at positions 568 to 774 of the family's 1533-position model. The record is from RNAcentral.